RNAcentral lists this ribosomal RNA (253 nucleotides) under uncultured bacterium. Its description in RNAcentral is "partial 16S ribosomal RNA". It matches the Rfam family "Bacterial small subunit ribosomal RNA", at positions 524 to 776 of the family's 1533-position model. The record is from RNAcentral.
UACGGGGGGGGCAAGCGUUGUUCGGAAUUACUGGGCGUAAAGGGCUCGUAGGCGGCCGGCUAAGUCAGACGUGAAAUCCCUCGGCUUAACCGGGGAACUGCGUCUGAUACUGGAUGGCUUGAGUUCGGGAGAGGGAUGCGGAAUUCCAGGUGUAGCGGUGAAAUGCGUAGAUAUCUGGAGGAACACCGGUGGCGAAGGCGGCAUCCUGGACCGACACUGACGCUGAGGAGCGAAAGCCAGGGGAGCAAACGGG